This is a long non-coding RNA of Drosophila pseudoobscura, 1790 nucleotides long. RefSeq lists it as uncharacterized. The record is from RefSeq and is a predicted model, not a curated record. The transcript is spliced from 4 exons. Lineage: Eukaryota; Metazoa; Arthropoda; Insecta; Diptera; Drosophilidae.
GUUGUCGUCAUCAUGAGUUUGUUUUUGCCAUUUAUCGCGGCUGCUCAUCGUUCGGUUGUUAGGACUGGCAAUGGGCGGAAUGGGGGGAAUCGUCUAAAAUUAGAAGAGCGCCCAAAAAUAGAUCGGCCAUCUGCUAUGUGUGUGACGUCAGGUGCGGAAGAGUUGCGGUCAGGUGCUACGGUGCCCCCCAUAUCCAAUGUAAACACAAUUUCUGGAAUGCUUGAAUGCUAACCAUCAAAAUGGAUUGUUUGUUCCCUCGCUUUUCGAUCGGUUUCUCCCGGUUCUGCUGUGUUCCCUUAUCGCACCUCUGCUUCGUCGGCAAAUGUCAACCUUUUGCACUGAACAUUUCUGGUAUUCGUUUCAGCAAACUAAGGGUGACUGGUCAGUCUCUUGACGAGAGUCUGGAGUGCAAGCUGAGUGCUCGGAUCUCAAGCGGAUCAUCGGGCAAUCGGAACACAACACUGCUGUGGCUGACGACUGCAAGAUGCCCACUAAUGUUCGCUGUAAAUGAGUAAUUGAAGAGUUCAUUAACUAAUGACUGUGGCAUUCAUUAGCCAAGGAAAUUGCUCUGCAAAGAAAACAACGCUUAACUCGAGUCAUGCACACGACAUGUUCUAUUUUAUUUCUCAUCCACUUUUCGCCUGUGCAUUUGACCGGCUUUGAGCAAAGGCAGCCAGGGCCAUAUACUCUCAGAGAAAAAUGGCAUAGCAACCAGAAACACAUUCAUAUAUAACUUAAAUAUUCGGUUGUUCAAUAUACAAACAUAGUGAAAUUAUAAAUAAUUCACUUUUAUGUAUAUAAAAUACUUGAAAAUAAAUAUAAUAUAUUAAAUUUGCAGGAAAUGGGCUUUUCCUCUGGGUGCCCAUUUGAUUCGAAGUCGAAACGGAUUAUAGAUGAGAUGAAUGCCAGAGGAAAUAUAUAGUGGCACUCAUCCCCGGGUACGGUACAUUGGGCCAUUCAGAAAUUCCCAUUGGGCGAGUCCCAGCAGCUGAUUCAUGCCAUGCCGGAGCCCAGAGCCAAUUCCGUAUCCGAAUCAAAGCACACACACACACACAUGCAAUCGAUCGCCCACACCACACCGAUCGGUGACUACGUUGUGGCACCCCCACAACAAUGGCAACAACAAGUAGGCGUCCUUCGACCAUGCCAAAUUCCAAAAUUCUUGCGUCGUUCGUCGGUCGUCGACAUCGACGUCAUUUCGCCCGCCAUCCUCUGCCUCUGCCUUUGCCUCUGCCCCUCUCCACUCCGGUCCGCACUGCUCCGGGCUAUACGUAAAUAUUUACACAUGUCUUACAAGAGCUGGCAAUUUUUCGCUGUCGGAUAUAGCGUCGUGGGAGGAGUGUGUAUGUGUACGGAUUGCGAUUUAAAUGGAUUUGUCUCAUUGCAUUCAUUGCUCCCGAUUCGAUACGAAACGGUCCAAUCCAAUCCGAUCCGAUCCGACAGUUCAAUGAAGUGGCCGGAGGAAGGAGAAUCCGUAUGUUAUACGAAUCAGGAAUGCAGAUCUUUAUAGAUUGAUCAAGGGAACGUACAUAUGUACAUACGAGUGGAUCCUUUUGGCGGGGAGUGCAAUCAGCGCCAGUGCCAGUGCCAGCGCCAGCGCCAGCUGCCUUCGAAUCUUCAGUUUGGAGAGCACGACAUCAUAACAAUAAAAAAAUACUAACAAUUUGGCAGCGGCGUACAAUUUGCGUCAACAGCACUUGCCUCUCAGGCCCCUAGUAUAUAUAUAGAUGGCAAAUAGAAUAUAUAGAUUUAUCCAUAUAUGUACAUAUAUAAAUACUUUUGUACAUACA